This is a non-coding RNA of Vicia faba (fava bean), 342 nucleotides long. The record is from the annotation of a GenBank genome assembly. Lineage: Eukaryota; Viridiplantae; Streptophyta; Magnoliopsida; Fabales; Fabaceae.
AUGUGGAGAUGUUCAUUUAUAUCUAAGUGUUACUUUCGUUUGGGGAGGCUUGAUGCAUCACUUAAUGUUAUUGAAAAAUUACAGAAAACAGCAUCUGUCAAUGACAAGUGUAUGAUUGAUAACACUGAAGACUUGCUGUCAUCAGCUACUACAAUACAAGAACUUCUAUAUCACAGGAAAGCAGGAAAUGAGAACUUCAAAUUGGGAAAGUAUACAGAAGCAGUGGAGAACUACACUGCUGAUUUAUCUAGUAAUAUUAAAUCAUGCCCUUUGCAGCAAUAUGUUUUGGCAACCGUGCUACUGCACAUCAAUCUUCAAGCCAAAUUGCUGAUGUCAUUGUAG